RNAcentral lists this ribosomal RNA (263 nucleotides) under uncultured bacterium. Its description in RNAcentral is "partial 16S ribosomal RNA". It matches the Rfam family "Bacterial small subunit ribosomal RNA", at positions 793 to 1055 of the family's 1533-position model. The record is from RNAcentral.
GUCCACGCUGUAAACGAUGUCAACUAGCCGUUGGGUCUCUUAGAGACUUAGUGGCGCAGCUAACGCAUUAAGUUGACCGCCUGGGGAGUACGGCCGCAAGGUUAAAACUCAAAUGAAUUGACGGGGGCCCGCACAAGCGGUGGAGCAUGUGGUUUAAUUCGAUGCAACGCGAAGAACCUUACCUACCCUUGACAUCCAGAGAAUCUGUUAGAGAUAGUAGAGUGCCUUCGGGAACUCUGAGACAGGUGCUGCAUGGCUGUCGU